This 513-nucleotide unclassified non-coding RNA is filed under the name Hevea brasiliensis (rubber tree). The record is from RNAcentral. Lineage: Eukaryota; Viridiplantae; Streptophyta; Magnoliopsida; Malpighiales; Euphorbiaceae.
GGAAAUGAGAUUUGGCUGGAAAAUUGUGCUUGGUAGCAUAAUUGGAUUCUUUGGUGCAGCAUGUGGCAGUGUGGGGGGUGUUGGUGGGGGUGGCAUUUUUGUUCCUAUGCUUACCCUGAUCAUUGGGUUUGAUGCCAAAUCAUCAACAGCUCUAUCAAAAUGUAUGAUCACAGGUGCAGCAGCUGCAACAGUUUACUACAAUUUAAAGUUAAGGCAUCCUACACUUGAGCUGCCUAUCAUUGACUAUGACCUGGCACUUCUAUUUCAACCAAUGCUGGUUCUGGGAAUUAGCUUGGGAGUUGCUCUCAAUGUGAUUUUUGCUGACUGGACAAUCACAAUUUUGCUAAUCAUUCUCUUCAUAGUCACGUCAUCCAAGGCAUUCUUCAAGGGUGUUGAAACAUGGAUUAUUCUCUUUUUAGUCACAUCAUCCAUGGCAUUCUUCAAGGGUGUUGAAACAUGGAAAAAAGAAACCAAAUUGAAAAAGGAGGCUACUAGACACUUGGAAUUUGUUGA